UACGUAGGUGGCGAGCGUUGUCCGGAUUUACUGGGUGUAAAGGGCGUGUAGGCGGGACAGCAAGUCAGGAGUGAAAUGUACAGGCUUAACCUGUGAAUUGCUUUUGAAACUGCAGUUCUUGAGUAUCGGAGAGGCAGGCGGAAUUCCGUGUGUAGCGGUAAAAUGCGUAGAUAUACGGAAGAACACCAGUGGCGAAGGCGGCCUGCUGGACGACAACUGACGCUGAGGCGCGAAAGCGUGGGGAGCGAAC
RNAcentral lists this ribosomal RNA (250 nucleotides) under uncultured prokaryote. RNAcentral's name for it is "partial 16S ribosomal RNA". It matches the Rfam family "Bacterial small subunit ribosomal RNA", at positions 524 to 773 of the family's 1533-position model. The record is from RNAcentral.